Non-coding RNA from Calypte anna (Anna's hummingbird), 139 nucleotides. The record is from Rfam. Lineage: Eukaryota; Metazoa; Chordata; Aves; Apodiformes; Trochilidae.
AUGGCUGUGAUGAUUGGCGCAGGGGUACGGACCUCAGCUGGAUCAUGGGAGCUGAGUGCAGCCUCGUUUCGGUGCAGCUGGCAUGUGGUUGGCUCACUGGAAGCAGGUUUGCAUGAGACUUUGCCAAAAGCUGAGCCAU